AUUGAACGCUGGCGGCAGGCCUAACACAUGCAAGUCGAGCGGAUGAAGGGAGCUGGCUCCUGGAUUCAGCGGCGGACGGGUGAGGAAUGCCUAGGAAUCUGCCUGGUAGUGGGGGAUAACGUCCGGGAACGGGCGCUAAUACCGCAUACGUCCUGAGGGAGAAAGUGGGGGAUCUUCGGACCUCACGCUAUCAGAUGAGCCUAGGUCGGAUUAGCUAGUUGGUGGGGUAAAGGCCUACCAAGGCGACGAUCCGUAACUGGUCUGAGAGGAUGAUCAGUCACACUGGAACUGAGACACGGUCCAGACUCCUACGGGAGGCAGCAGUGGGGAAUAUUGGACAAUGGGCGAAAGCCUGAUCCAGCCAUGCCGCGUGUGUGAAGAAGGUCUUCGGAUUGUAAAGCACUUUAAGUUGGGAGGAAGGGCAGUAAGUUAAUACCUUGCUGUUUUGACGUUACCAACAGAAUAAGCACCGGCUAACUUCGUG
Molecule: ribosomal RNA, 484 nt
Filed under: uncultured bacterium
Lineage: Bacteria
Description: partial 16S ribosomal RNA
Rfam family: Bacterial small subunit ribosomal RNA
Source: RNAcentral